Dermacentor andersoni is the source of this 1024-nucleotide non-coding RNA. The record is from RefSeq and is a predicted model, not a curated record. Lineage: Eukaryota; Metazoa; Arthropoda; Arachnida; Ixodida; Ixodidae.
UUCGUUGGUCGAAAACGUUGCUGUUUGGGAGCUCGAAAGUCACUUGAUAACCAAGCUAUCUUCUGUUCUCGCGUGCAGAGGAAACAAUGCCACCACGAGAACCUCCACAAUCGACUUCCGACCUAAACGCCACUUCAUCACACAGUAAGCAUGCAUUUAAGUUGAGCUACAUUCCUGGUUAUUUUACACGUCAUUUAGCUUGCUUUCCUUUAUCGCUGUGGGCAUCUCCUUUCUCGAUCUAUGAUUGCCGAAGACGAUCUCGGUAAGAACGGAUUGUAUAACUCCAAUGACAUUAUCCCUCACUACCCAUUAUUGCUAAAAACACCGAAUAAUUCCGUUGGCCUAAAUUAUUGUGUUACUUCUCUGUUUCCAGAAUUUCAUGACAAGCUGAUUCUCAUGGGCUGAAGCUGAACAUCUACAUUUUAGAAUACAUUCUGCAAAAUAGCGCUUAUCAAGCCGAUGGCGCAUGCUUAUGCUAUCUCUUGUAGAAUGUUCAUGUUUGGCAAUGCGCGGCAGCAAAAACCGGUUUUCGGUUUUUGUAAUAUGGGCGCAGCUUUCUUUUCCUUCAUUUUUUCCCUUUUUUUAACAUAUACAGUUUCACAUAGUUUCUGUGCACCGUGCUGUUAGGUAACAUACACGUUAAUAUCUCUUAAAAAUUAUAUAGCGUGUUCGUAUGUUGUCAUUGUAGAAAAGAACCUAAAAGCCAGGUGAACACUGUAACGUCCUGAAGGCCUAUAUUUUCUUGACCUUUGCCUUAGUCUUAACCUUACCAAACACAAUAUCCUUCGAACUCUUAGCACUACCUUAUCAGCUUCUUCGAAACUGCACAAUUUUUCUGAACUUUUCUCGCUUCAUAUGGUCAAAGCAGUUACCCCAAGCGCGUUCAGUAAUUAUAUACGGGCCACAAAACACCUCCAUUGCCAAGGCGUACUAUGUCAACUAAGUUUCGUUGAUGAUAAGCGCGAUUUCUUGUGAUUUCUUGCGCACCUUGUGAUAAAAGUGAAUAAACUGGUAUUGCUGCCAA